GAUGAACGCUAGCUACAGGCUUAACACAUGCAAGUCGAGGGGAAACGCCAUCGAAAGCUUGCUUUUGAUGGGCGUCGACCGGCGCACGGGUGAGUAACGCGUAUCCAACCUGCCCAUCACUUGGGAAUAACCUUGCGAAAGUAAGACUAAUACCCAAUGACAUCCCACGAAGACAUCUGAAUGGGAUUAAAGAUUUAUCGGUGAUGGAUGGGGAUGCGUCUGAUUAGCUUGUUGGCGGGGUAACGGCCCACCAAGGCAACGAUCAGUAGGGGUUCUGAGAGGAAGGUCCCCCACAUUGGAACUGAGACACGGUCCAAACUCCUACGGGAGGCAGCAGUGAGGAAUAUUGGUCAAUGGGCGAGAGCCUGAACCAGCCAAGUAGCGUGCAGGAUGACGGCCCUAUGGGUUGUAAACUGCUUUUAUAGGGGAAUAAAGUGGGUCUCGUGAGACUUUUUGCAUGUACCUUAUGAAUAAGGACCGGCUAAUUCCGUG
RNAcentral lists this ribosomal RNA (492 nucleotides) under uncultured bacterium. Its description in RNAcentral is "partial 16S ribosomal RNA". It matches the Rfam family "Bacterial small subunit ribosomal RNA", at positions 28 to 507 of the family's 1533-position model. The record is from RNAcentral.